Molecule: ribosomal RNA, 497 nt
Filed under: uncultured bacterium
Lineage: Bacteria
Description: partial 16S ribosomal RNA
Rfam family: Bacterial small subunit ribosomal RNA
Source: RNAcentral
GAUGAACGCUGGCGGCGUGCCUAAUACAUGCAAGUCGAGCGAACAGACGAGGAGCUUGCUCCUCUGACGUUAGCGGCGGACGGGUGAGUAACACGUGGAUAACCUACCUAUAAGACUGGGAUAACUUCGGGAAACCGGAGCUAAUACCGGAUAACAUGUUGAACCACAUGGUUCAACAGUGAAAGACGGUCUUGCUGUCACUUAUAGAUGGAUCCGCGCCGCAUUAGCUAGUUGGUAGGGUAACGGCUUACCAAGGCAACGAUGCGUAGCCGACCUGAGAGGGUGAUCGGCCACACUGGAACUGAGACACGGUCCAGACUCCUACGGGAGGCAGCAGUAGGGAAUCUUCCGCAAUGGGCGAAAGCCUGACGGAGCAACGCCGCGUGAGUGAAGAAGGUCUUCGGAUCGUAAAACUCUGUUAUUAGGGAAGAACAAAUGUGUAAGUAACUAUGCACGUCUUGACGGUACCUAAUCAGAAAGCCACGGCUAACUACGUG